CUACAUGGCUCGUGAAUUCCAUGAUUCCAUUCAUAGGGAAAACUUACCUAUUUCUGUCGAAGGCAAAGGAGGUAUGGGAAGCAGUGAAAUAAACCUACGCUGAUGGAGAAAAUGCGUCACAAAUUUUUGAAAUUGGCAAAUCAAAUAGGGAGAAAGAGAGGUCACAGAUUAUUACUUGGAAAUGACUAAUUUGUGGCAAGAACUCGACCUUAGCCUUGACGAGGAAUGAGAUUGCCCCGAUGAUAAGGUGUGCUACAAGAAAAGGGUCGAAAAUGAGCUGGUCUAUGAAUUCCUUGUUGUUCUUAAUUGCGAAUUGGAUGAAGUAAAGGGGAUAAUCUUAGGCCAACGAUCCCUACCAUCUACUCGGAAAGCUUUUUCAAAAGUGAGAAGAGAUGAAACUCGUCGGAAAAUCAUGUUGAAGAGCGACGAUUCUGACAUCGUGAUGGAGCCUUUUGCGAUGGGGUCAAGACGAAAUUGACAUGGGUCUUCUAGUUACCGGCCAACUGGAUUGAAAAGAAAUAGUGGGCUUGCAAGUAAUG
RNAcentral lists this long non-coding RNA (539 nucleotides) under Olea europaea (common olive). Its description in RNAcentral is "long non-coding RNA (OEUR_LNC007761)". The record is from RNAcentral. Lineage: Eukaryota; Viridiplantae; Streptophyta; Magnoliopsida; Lamiales; Oleaceae.